RNAcentral lists this ribosomal RNA (440 nucleotides) under uncultured bacterium. RNAcentral describes it as "partial 16S ribosomal RNA". It matches the Rfam family "Bacterial small subunit ribosomal RNA", at positions 338 to 795 of the family's 1533-position model. The record is from RNAcentral.
CCUACGGGUGGCAGCAGUGGGGAAUAUUGCACAAUGGGGGAAACCCUGAUGCAGCGACGCCGCGUGAGUGAAGAAGUAAUUCGUUACGUAAAGCUCUAUCAGCAGGGAAGAAAAUGACGGUACCUGAGUAAGAAUCACCGGCUAAUUCCGUGCCAGCAGCCGCGGUAAUACGCAGGGGGCCAGCGUUAUCCGGAUUUACUGGGUGUAAAGGGAGCGUAGACGGUGCGCCAAGUCUGGAGUGAAAUGCCGCAGCUUAACUGCGGAACUGCGUUGGAUACUGGCGAACUAGAGUGCAGGAGGGGUAAGCGGAAUUGCUAGUGUAGCGGUGAAAUGCGUAGAUAUUAGGCGGAACACCGGUGGCGAAGGCGGCUUACUGGGCCGUAACUGACGUUGAGGCUCGAAAGCGUGGGGAGCAAACAGGAUUAGAUACCCGAGUAGUC